GCGAGGCUAGGGGGGUACAGGGUGCUACACACUACUCCUUCUACUACUAUACCCUUAUUUCAUUGUUUGUUUGUUUCCUUCCCCAACAAAAAUAAAACGCAUAUUUCCCCAUUUGCAUUUUGCACUCCAUUUUCUUUGUCUCUCUCGUUCAUUCACAACGCAAUCUUUCUCCAACCCUUAGAUCUCUCAGCUUUCUGGUGAUUAGGUUUAUGCAUAGUUGGAGGUGAAGCUGUGAUUUAAUAUAUAGCUCGAAAAUGGGGUUUGAUAAUGAGUGUAUAAUCAAUAUUCAAUCUCUUGCGGGAGAGUAUUUUUGUCCUGUUUGUCGCCUUCUCGUUUUUCCGAAUGAAGCUUUGCAGUCACAAUGUACUCAUUUAUAUUGUAAGCCGUGUUUGACGUAUGUAGUCAGUACUACCAGGGCUUGUCCUUAUGAUGGUUACCUGGUCACUGAGGCCGAUUCCAAGCCUUUGAUAGAGUCGAAUAAGACACUUGCUGAAACUAUUGGAAAAAUAGCAGUUCAUUGCUUGUAUCAUAGGAGUGGAUGCACAUGGCAAGGGACUUUGUCUGACUGUACAUCUCAUUGUUCUGGAUGUGCUUUCGGAAAUUCUCCUGUUGUUUGCAACAGAUGCGGGAUACAAAUAGUGCACCGUCAAGUACAAGAACAUGCACAAACCUGUUCUGGUGUGCAGGGUCAGGUACAGCAGGGGGCCGUUACUCAAGAUCCUUCAGCUACCACUGCUACUGCUAUUGCGCCUACUGAUCAGAAUCAGGCUGCUGCUCCAGUUGCAGCAACAGCUUCACAACCUGCGACUUCUCAAGCAGUUGUUGCAACUACUACAGCUGGACAUGUUUCGAAUCAGCUACCCAACCCAGCAUCUCAAACCCAAGCUUUAGGUCAAAAUGCUGUGCAGCCAACUGCAGAGCAGUGGUAUCAGCAGCAACAAUAUCAACAAUACUACCAACAAUAUCCCGGACAAGAUCCAUACCAACAGCAGUAUCAACAGUACUACCCCUAUCAACAGUCUGCAGUUCCACAAUACCAGCAGGCUUAUGUCCAGCCUCAACCUCAGCAACAGACACAGCCGCAGGCCCAACCUCAACUACAGCCUCAGGCUCAACCUCAACUACAGCCUCAGGCGCAAGUACAGUCUCAACCACUUUCACAUGUGCAGACUCCUGCGGUCGCACAAGCUCAGAGUCAGAUGCAAGUUCACCAACAAUCACAGCAGCUUCAAACUACGGUACAGCCACAUGGUCAGAUGAGUCACCCACCUGGCCAAGGUCAAGCCUUCCCUCAACCUCAGCCUUAUCCUUACCCCCAAGUUCAGCCUCAUUCUGGGCAACCUCAACCGCAACAACAUAUGCAAAUCCCUCCUUAUCAGCAGCCUCAUCCUCAAAUGCAGCAUCCGCAGCCUCAAAAUCAACAACCAGUUCAGAAAUAUCCCGUUUCUCAACCUCAAGUUCAUCCACAAAUGCAACCUAAUGUUCCAGUUCAACAUCCGUCUCAGCCUCACAUGCAAUCUCACCAGCCGGUGACUCCUAAUGUACAACCUCAAGUGCAAAAUGCAAUGUCACAUGCAGUGACAGGUCAUCACUCAUACCCCCAACCUCUGCCUCAUCAGAAUAUGCAACUGGGAGCCCCUCAAUCUACUAUGAACUUGAACCCUCAACUCCAGGCCCAGCAUUCUGUUCAGAUGCAGAAUCAGUUUCCUCAGCAAACUCCAAUGAUGCGCCCAAAUCAGUCUCAUGCUAUGUUUCCUAACCAGCAGCAGCUAGCUUCGUUGCCUUCAGCUGUUCAGGGUCAAAACACCCCUGCUCUGCAACCGCAGCCAGGAUAUGCUCCUAAUCAACUAACUGGUCAAACCAACCAACGCCCUGUAUUGCAACCAGGUCAACAGGUAUUACCUCAGCAACCAUUUGCACAACACCAGAUCCCUAUGCCAUCUCAUCUACGACCCCAAGGUCCAGCACAUUCAUUUCCCAACCAUGCUUAUCCACAGUCCAAGGGUAAUACUGCACUCUCUCAAAAUGCUGUUGGAAGGUCCUCAAUUCCCAAUCAUGCACAGCCAUUUGCUCAAUCUGCCAAUGCCAUCCCUGUUAGACCAGGGAAUCAGAAUUCGUUGGUAGGGACAAACACUCAAGUGCAGUCAAGAGCACCAGAACCAAUUGAAAGGCAAGGCCAUGCUAUUGAGACACAAACUGACCCUGCCUCUGCGAAACUUGGAAAAAACGAGUUGAAAUCUGAUAAAGAAACAAAUUUGAAAUCAAAUACUGAGCUUUGGAGUAAGCAAAAUAAUGAAGAUCCAAACUCUGUGAAGACAUUAGGCCCAAAUGCUAAUGCAUUAGAAAAUGGUGAUACAUUGCAUAAGAAUCUUGGUAAGGGAGAGGCUUCUGGAAGCAUUGGGGUUCAACAUGAUAGCAAUGAGCGUUCUGUUGUCCAUGGCGAUGAGAUUCAAGAUGGACCUCCACUGAAGACGGAAACUAAACUCUCUGUACCAGAAACUGAUAAACUGCAAGGUGAUGAUACAAGUACUCCAAGACCUCCUUCUGGUGCUGACAAUCCUGCACCAGCUGUCUCUCAGUCCAAUGGUGGUCAUGGACUUGGCAUUGAUGAAUAUGAAGGGAUGCAGUCUGGUGGUUUAGCUCAACCAAUCAAUAAUUAUAAGUCUGCUACUUUCCAGCAGAGGUCUUCUGCCAUGUUGACACAAUUGCCACAUCAAGCAGGUCCAAAUCAGCCUCUCUCUGCAGCGAACUCUUCAACUCUAAUCUGGAAUCACGGAACUGCACCUGCUGUUAAUUCAGGACAAACCUUAAAUUCCAUGGAUAAUUUUCAGCAAACUAUGUUCAAGCAACCACAUAGUUCUGAUACCCAGUUUAACAUUCGUGGGCACGGCUUUCAACCUCAGCCUCUUGGACCCCCAGGACCAUAUAGCCAAGUUCACGAACCGCCUUUCCUCACUGGGUCUUCCGAUAGGUCUCGAAUUGGAGGGCCACAGUUUGGUGCCCCAUCACCUGGUGAUAUGCACAGUGGAAUGACAACCAACUUACUGCCACAUGCUUCUGAAGGUUUUGGUGUGCAGGAUGAAAGAUUCAAAUCUUUCCAACAUAAUAUUGAUCGGAGAGAGUUUGAAAAUGAUCUCAAGAAAUUCCCUAGACAUCCUUUUGAUGCUGAGCCAGGUCCAAAAUUUGGAAAUUAUCAAUUAGGUCCACAUGAAACUGGAAAGAGACCAGUUGGUUAUCAUGAUGAUGCCAUCAAGAAACCAGGUUCAACUCUUCAUCCUGGUCAUCUUGGACCAGGUCCUGGAUACGGGAUACAUCAUAUGGAUGGUAUUGCUCCAAGAAGUCCUGGUAGUGAAUACAUUGAUAUGCCAUCCCGGAGAUCGGGCCCCCUCUCUGGUGGUCUUGUUAGUAAAUCCGGUAUAGAUGAUUUUGAUGGCAGAACUGCAAGUCGAUAUGGUGAUUCAGUUGGCAUUGCAUUCCGUGAUGGUCGGUUUCCUCAUCAGCCUAGCCAUUUGCAUAGAGAUGCGUUUGAUGGUUUUGGUAAUUUUCGAAUGGGUGAACAUCCAAGGAGGGGCAAUUUCAUUGGUCGAGACGAAUUUUCUGGCCAUUUCCAAAGGGGUGAGCAUUUGGGUCCACAUAAUUUUCCUAGACAUUUGCAGCUUGGGGAGCGUAUCAGUUUUGGUGAUCACCCUGGUCAUAUGCGAGCCUUUGAACUUGGUAGUUCUCGGAGUUUUGAAUCUUUUAGCAAAGGCAACAGGCCAGGUCAUCCACAACUUGGUGAACCUGGGUUUAGGAGCAGCUUUUCCCUUGCAGGAUUUAAUAAUGAUGCUGGAUUUUUAACAGGAGAUAUCAGGUCGUUUGAUAAUUUGAGGAGAAGAAAGGCUGCCAGUAUGGGGUGGUGCCGGAUAUGUAAAGUCGACUGUGAAACAGUUGAAGGUUUGGAAUUGCAUUCUCAAACGAGGGAGCACCAGAAGAUGGCCGUGGAUAUAGUAAAAACAAUCAAACAAAAUGCAAAGAAACAGAAACUAAUACCCAGUGAACAAUCCUCUGUUGAAGAUGGAAAGCAGACAUGGGGUACUGGUUUUGAGGGUCAUGGAAAUAAGCAUUGAGUGGUAGUGGUAAUUACGGUUGCUGCUAUCAUGUAAAUGGAGAUGCUUUUUGGAUCUGAAGUCCUGUGGCAAAUCGGUUCUAGUUAAAGAUUAUACCAUCUUUCUAUCACAAUGUUGGGGGAGCUUUCAUUGAAGUGAUGAGAUAGACUUCAUGAUUGGUGAUUCUGGCCUCAAUCUCUACCUUGUCAAUGUGUUUUUAUCAGAAAAUUCAUUGAGCAAAUACCUAGAAAAUCCAGAUGAUAAAUGCAUGAUCGUAUAAAGAUAUGCAUAAAACUAAAUUAAAGAAAGUUGUGACAAGAUGAAAGAAUACAACCACACUCAUUUCUUGUCACGGAGAACAAUGUCAAAGAUAGGAACAACAUAGCUAUUUGUGAUUGAGGCCAAAUAAAAAGAUAGGAACGACGCCGUUAUUUGCGACGAUGGAUGGCGGCAAUGGCCAUGUGGUUCUUCAGUUAUCAUAAUUGUGAUUUUAGGUUCUAAAAACAUGUUUGAUUUUGGGGUUUAGGUUUUUCUAAAUUUAAAUUGGUUCAAUUCCAGUUCGAUUUAGUUUUUUAAAAACCGGUUCAGUUAACAAACUAAUUUUGUAAAUAUAGUUUGGUUUUCAAUUUUAUAAAUUGGUUUGAUUCAAAAACAGCUUAGUUUGAUUCAGUUUUUAGCGCAGUUCCAUGUUUUUGGUUUUUUGACCACCUCUAAUGGAAAGUGGACCAUCAUUUAAAUUUCUCUUAUGAUAUUUUCAUGUGUCUAUCUGUGCACCACAUUGAAUUGGUGGGGUUCUACCAACAUUUAUUGAUAGAUGCAUGACGAGAAACAGAGAGGGAGAGAGAGAUGGUUAUGAGCUCACAUUUUUUUUUUACAGCGAGCUCUUGUUUUCUUAAUGUCUUCUAAUUUGAGAAUUUAAAAGUAAUACAUAAUGUGGUCUCAACGAUGCUACAUUGCUUAAGAAAAUGGUAGUUUUGUACAUUAAUAAGGUCUGGCAUAGGAUCAAUGAUUUCUUUCAAUUAAUAGCUAUGUUGUCAAUACCUGCGCAAUCCCUGUGCAGUGGAAGGGCUGGCUGCGAUGCCACCAACUAGAAAAAUACGUUCGACAGUAGCGGCACUGCCGAUCGUGAAUAUUGCUAUCAUCACGUCACUCUAUCCCAAAGCGACCUACUAUUAGAUCUGCUUUAGGGCUUUUUCAAAAAACAACAAAAUUCUUUUAUAUUUUUAUUCUUCAUUAAGGGUAUCUAAGUCAUUCCACACCCACUUACGUUUUAAUUUUUUACUAUUAUAAAUCUACGAAAGGGUUGGUUCAACCAUCGUGAAAAACAAACCGUUUUUGUUCUUCCUCUGUUUUAUCCUUGCUGUGUUGUUUUUGUUCAUUUCUUGUUCUAUUCAACAUCGUUUGGUUCCUUUCUUGCA
Cicer arietinum (chickpea) is the source of this 5503-nucleotide RNA transcript. RefSeq lists it as uncharacterized. NCBI's taxonomy places the organism in Eukaryota, Viridiplantae, Streptophyta, Magnoliopsida, Fabales, Fabaceae. The record is from RefSeq and is a predicted model, not a curated record.